AACAAGGAUUCCCCUAGUAGCGGCGAGCGAAGCGGGAAGAGCUCAAAUUUAUAAUCUGGCACCUUCGGUGUCCGAGUUGUAAUCUCUAGAAAUGUUUUCCGCGUUGGACCGCACACAAGUCUGUUGGAAUACAGCGGCAUAGUGGUGAGACCCCCGUAUAUGGUGCGGACGCCCAGCGCUUUGUGAUACAUUUUCGAAGAGUCGAGUUGUUUGGGAAUGCAGCUCAAAUUGGGUGGUAAAUUCCAUCUAAAGCUAAAUAUUGGCGAGAGACCGAUAGCGAACAAGUACCGUGAGGGAAAGAUGAAAAGCACUUUGGAAAGAGAGUUAACAGUACGUGAAAUUGUUGGAAGGGAAACGCUUGAAGUCAGACUUGCUUGCCGAGCAAUCGGUUUGCAGGCCAGCAUCAGUUUUUCGGGGUGGAUAAUGGUAGAGAGAAGGUAGCAGUUUCGGCUGUGUUAUAGCUCUCUACUGGAUACACCCUGGGGGACUGAGGAACGCAGUGUGCCUUUGGCGGGGGUUUCGACCUCUUCGCACUUAGGAUGCUGG
RNAcentral lists this ribosomal RNA (546 nucleotides) under Rhodotorula mucilaginosa. RNAcentral's name for it is "partial large subunit ribosomal RNA". It matches the Rfam family "Eukaryotic large subunit ribosomal RNA", at positions 67 to 629 of the family's 3401-position model. The record is from RNAcentral. Lineage: Eukaryota; Fungi; Basidiomycota; Microbotryomycetes; Sporidiobolales; Sporidiobolaceae.